This 204-nucleotide unclassified non-coding RNA is filed under the name Hevea brasiliensis (rubber tree). The record is from RNAcentral. Lineage: Eukaryota; Viridiplantae; Streptophyta; Magnoliopsida; Malpighiales; Euphorbiaceae.
GCCAUAUUUUAUCCUUUUUCUCUUGUACGCUCUGCCAAGCAUUGUUAGCUGGUGAGUUCUUACGGUGUCGUCAGCAGAAUAAAGCUGCUCCUUGGAGGUAGGCAAAUCAACAUCCGUGAUUGGCUGUAGUAAAAUAUCUCCAUCACUGUCUUCACCUUCACUUGAUGAGAACCUAUAUUCAACUGCUCCAUUAUUAUCUCCCCA